Musa acuminata AAA Group (dessert banana) is the source of this 1284-nucleotide long non-coding RNA. RefSeq lists it as uncharacterized. NCBI's taxonomy places the organism in Eukaryota, Viridiplantae, Streptophyta, Magnoliopsida, Zingiberales, Musaceae. The record is from RefSeq and is a predicted model, not a curated record. The transcript has 2 exons.
UAUAAUUAGACAUUUUAUAGUUUAAACCCACUUUACUAAAUAUGGUGGUGUAUUAAAAGGCAGUUGAAAGAACUCCAUAGCCUUGUGAUUCAAUGAUGCAUAAAACAUUUGAUUAUAGAUUAUAUAUAAAUACACUACUCCUUUGUUCCUUUUAAUCAAAGCAACAAAGACACACGGCUCCCUAUAACUUGAUGUAGGGACUAACUAAUUCGGGACCUAAAGGGAAGCUUAAAGAUUUGAGUUCAAAGUGGUCUCAGCUGUAUGCAUUGCUUACAUAUAACUCCAUGCGUUUCUAAUAAUUACUUAGCAACCCCAGUCUUUGAUGCUUAUGCUGUUUGUCUUUGGGCCCACUCAACCGUCGCCGCUCCUACACUGCUCGACCACCGCCGGCUCAACUAUCACACCUACUCGCCCAUCGCUUUUACCUACUGCAUAAUUGGGCGCAGUCAUUGUGAUGCUCGAGGAGGCUGGUUGGUGAAUUCUGAAGCUUCUCGAGAUUGCCAAGGGCGGAGUGCACGACGACAAAAGUGCAUCUGAUCGAUAAUGGAGGGUCAGGGGAGCUUUUCGUUACGCGUGACGACGGCGAUCUUGAAGUCUUGCAAGCAGGUGGGGUAACACGUAAUUACCCCUGAGAAAGGUUGAUCAAAGCAGCAGAGAGAUGAGAAGCGGAUAAGCCAUGCCAUCAAGUAUGCCUCCUCAGAGGCUGCGUUGCAUGGAGGCCUCGCCUCACUGUUGCUCUUUCUAGGAUUCCACUCCACCAAAUCUCUCACAUCUUUGUUCUAUCGAGCUGGUCUUUUCCUGCCCUCAUGAUUUCUUGGUCUUGCUUGGCGUUCUUGGCUGUUUUGGCAUGGUUUUGAUGUUCUAUGCUUCCCGUACUGUUGUGACCUCAAAUUCUAGCAAAGGAUGAAACGGUGGUCUUGAUCUGAACAAUGCUGAAUCCUCUCCCAAGUGAGAAACAAGCAGAUGGAAGAGAUGGCUACUCGGUCACAUCUGGUUGUUUCCUUGAAGGCAAUUCAUUCUUGGCUUAUCGACAAUGAUGGUUUUAUCAUCAUGUAACAUUACAAUGAUGGUGAAAGUCCUGCAUGCUAUGGUGAUUGUGGAUGUUUGUUUACUGACUGAUUCUUGUGCAAAAUGUUGAGUCCAUUAUUUUUCAGAUACGUUUGAUCUCUGUAGAAACAGAUCAUGAAGAUUUCAGUGGGAAUUUCCCGGUGGUAACUUGAUUUUAUGUUACUUAUUCUGUAUUUAGAUUGUACUUUGCAUGGCUACUUUCAAGAGUUUGUGAAA